UGGGGAAUAUUGCGCAAUGGGCGAAAGCCUGACGCAGCGACGCCGCGUGAGGGAUGAAGGUUUUCGGAUCGUAAACCUCUGUCAGAAGGGAAGAAACCGCACUGUGCUAAUCAGCAGUGCCUUGACGGUACCUUCAAAGGAAGCACCGGCUAACUCCGUGCCAGCAGCCGCGGUAAUACGGAGGGUGCAAGCGUUAAUCGGAAUUACUGGGCGUAAAGCGCACGUAGGCUGCUUUGUAAGUCAGGUGUGAAAUCCCACGGCUCAACCGUGGAACUGCCUUUGAUACUGCUUAGCUUGAAUCCGGGAGAGGGUGGCGGAAUUCCAGGUGUAGGAGUGAAAUCCGUAGAUAUCUGGAGGAACAUCAGUGGCGAAGGCGGCCACCUGGACCGGUAUUGACGCUGAGGUGCGAAAGCGUGGGGAGCAAACAGG
Molecule: ribosomal RNA, 429 nt
Filed under: Fusobacteriota bacterium
Lineage: Bacteria; Fusobacteriati; Fusobacteriota
Description: Fusobacteria bacterium partial 16S ribosomal RNA
Rfam family: Bacterial small subunit ribosomal RNA
Source: RNAcentral